GCCCCCCCACCCGUUGGCGGCAGGAGGGGAGGGAGGUUUCGCUUGCGCCGGCCGCGGGGAUAGGCCGGCUCGGGGAGGCGCUGCUGUUUAUUUUCCAUCAUGAUCACUUUGUUCGUGUUGGGAGGGGGAACAAACCCACACUAUUCUUUUUUAUUAAUUUUCAAGGAGAUUUUCCAUGUUCAUCGGUCCGAAUUGCACAGGCACACACCCACCCACCCCGGUAUUCCUCCCCCCAGCCCCGCCGCGGAGUUAAACCGGGAGCGGGGGAAGGGCGGGCAGGGUGCUCAACGAUCCUUUGCAGCCGGAGAAGAAGUCCACCGCAAACGCUGCCCGUUCCGCUGCCCGUUCUCGCUCCGAUUUCCGGGGUGCCAUCCGCCCUAGCCGGGUGGGGGCCGAGACUGAAGCGGGGCUGGCGGGCGGGGGGUGGUCGCUGCCCUUCCCUGUCCCUCCCCAGCGCAAGGCCGGCACAACCCCGUGUUUUUGGGGCGGUUUCGCAGCGAGGGCGAACGAACCCGGGCGCGGCCGGGAUAAACAACAGGAUCGCGUUGCACCGGGAAGGGCGGGGGGAACGGGACCCGGGCGAGCGCUGGAUCUGGCAGCGGUCCGGCCCGGGAAGUUGCGAAUUUGCGGUCGAAUUUUAAGCCUUAGGAGUCGGAACGAGCGAGUGCGAGAGGUACCUCGCGCUAAGUGUUUCUCAAAAGAAAAAGAAUUGUGACGAGGAAAUCCCACCCUUUUGCAUUAAGAGGACAUAUUGCUCCCAGUUAUCAGAGGAGAAUCACAGAAUCGUUUAGAUAGGAAAAGACCUUUAAGAUCAUCGAGUCCAACCAUAAACCCAGCACUGCCAAGUCCACCAGUGAACCAUGUUCUUAAGCGCCACAUCCACACAUCUUUCAAAUGCCUUCAUGGAUGGUGGCUCCACCACUUCCCUGGGCAGCUUGUUCCAAUGCUUGACGACCCUUUCGGUGAAGAAACGAUAGCGUGGCACUAAGGGUGAAGAGAGCGAGCUGCGUUCCUUACUUCCACCUGCGCUGGAGACACGGGAAAAGAGAGAGACGAAGAGAAAACUUGCUGUUACUUCUUGAAGGAGCCUUAUUUCCUCCUGUGCCAGGCCGAGGGAGGUCGAAACACACACUAAUGAAGACCAUAUUUCUUAUAUAUGGCAGUUUUCUUUAUUGAUUGCUUGAUGUGAAACAGUAUCAAUCUGGAUUUUUUUCCCCACACAUUACAAAAAAAAAAGAAAAGAAAAAAAAGAAAAAGGAGUUAAAUUGGCUCAGUCUGCAAUCCUUUAAGCACAGCCAUAUUCAUUAUCAGAAAAAGGACACCCCC
Long non-coding RNA from Strigops habroptila (Kakapo), 1326 nucleotides. RefSeq lists it as uncharacterized. Lineage: Eukaryota; Metazoa; Chordata; Aves; Psittaciformes; Psittacidae. The record is from RefSeq and is a predicted model, not a curated record. The transcript has 2 exons.